Molecule: RNA transcript, 1687 nt
Organism: Manihot esculenta (cassava)
Lineage: Eukaryota; Viridiplantae; Streptophyta; Magnoliopsida; Malpighiales; Euphorbiaceae
Gene name: alpha/beta hydrolase domain-containing protein 17B
Exons: 8
Source: RefSeq, a predicted model, not a curated record
GUAAGAUAUCUUCUUCUCGUAUUCAAGGAAUGCAAUAAAACUUUUUUCUUUUUCCUUAACGAAAUGCCAUUUUGCUGGCCUAAAUCUCUCUCUCUGUGAACAAAAGAAAACCUCAGUUCCUUCAAUUUUCUCAAGAAACAAACAAGAACCCACCAAAACCCAAAAUCUAGAAAUCCCAUCGACAUAGUUCUGUUUGUCUCAUUUUUCAUAAUUACGAAAUCCUUCCUCUCUCUCUCUCUCUCUGCCGCUCCCUUUUUUUUUUUUUUUUUUUUCCAAAAAAUAUAGUAGAACUUGACCAUGCACUUCAGUCUUCUCAUACCCAUUCUUACCUAGAAUACAAAAAACACCACCAAGUUCCACCUCUCUUUUGGGGUUAAUCAUGGGAACGGCAACAUCAUCAAUGGCGGCGAAAUUCGCCUUCUUCCCACCAAACCCACCGUCUUAUACAAUAACAGUGGAUGAAGCAACUGGGAAACUGAGGAUCUCAGAUGUCCAACAGAAAGACGACGUGGACGUGCUGAAGCUUUCCACAAAGAAAGGGAAUGAGAUUGUUGCAAUAUACGUGAAGAACCCAUUAGCUUCAUUAACUGUCCUAUACUCUCAUGGCAACGCUGCUGAUCUUGGUCAGAUGUAUCAUAUCUUCACUGAGCUUAGCCUGCACCUUAAUGUUAAUCUUAUGGGGUACGAUUAUUCUGGGUAUGGACAGUCUUCUGGAAAGCCAAGUGAACAAGAUACAUACGCUGAUAUAGAUGCUGCAUAUAUGUGCCUGGAAGAGACUUAUGGAGUGAAGGAGGAAGAUGUUAUAUUGUAUGGUCAAUCAGUAGGAAGUGGACCUACUCUUGAAUUAGCAACUCGUUUGUCUCAAUUAAGAGCUGUGAUUCUUCACAGUCCUAUCCUCUCAGGCCUUCGUGUCAUGUAUCCUGUCAAGAAAACAUUCUGGUUCGAUAUUUACAAGAAUAUUGAUAAGAUUCCGCUAGUGAAUUGUCCAGUUCUGGUAAUUCAUGGAACAGAAGAUGAAGUUGUGGAUUUUUCCCAUGGUAAGCAGCUAUGGGAGCUUUGCAAAGAGAAGUAUGAGCCCUUGUGGCUUAAAGGAGGAAGCCACUGCAACUUGGAACUCUACCCAGAGUACUUAAGGCAUCUCAGGAAGUUCAUAUCUGCCAUUGAAAAGAUGCCUCCCCAUCUCAGGAAUGGACCUGGACAAAGCACAGAUCAGCCUGAUCAGCCUUCGAACACUGCAGAUUCCAAUAAGGAAACAUCAAGGCCAAGCACAGAUCAGAGAGAUAAGGCCAGGGCUAGUACUGGGCAGAGAGAAAAAUCCAGGCUAAGCACAGACAGCAGAGAUAAAGGAAGAGCAAGCACUGAAAGAAGAGAGAAGUCAAGAAAGAGCAUAGAUCGCUCAGCUAAAGCAAGAAACAGCACUGAUCAGCCAGAAAAAGCAAGAAACAGCUUCGAUCGGUUGGGAGACAUGGUUAGAUCUGUGGGAUUGUGCAAUGUUGAUUGCUUGAAGCCGACAGCUUCUGAGGCCUGAAAUAGAAAAGUUAGUGCUUGAAAGAAAAUAAAGAUCUUGGGGCAGACAAUGGUUUGAUUGGUCAAUUUGGAGUUGGUUUCUAUUCAGCUUUUCUUGUGGCAGAGAAGGUUGUUGUGUCUACAAAGAGCCCAAGGUCAGAUAAGCAAUAUGUCUGGGAAG